Molecule: long non-coding RNA, 3157 nt
Organism: Cyprinus carpio (common carp)
Lineage: Eukaryota; Metazoa; Chordata; Actinopteri; Cypriniformes; Cyprinidae
Source: Ensembl
UUUCAAUAGAUAUUUACACGGGUUGUUUAUUAUUUGUCAACAUUCUUUCAACAUUUAUUUGUAUAUUUAUUUACACAAAUUGUAAUAUUGUUAAUUUAUUUGUUGAAUUAUGUAGACUAACUAUUUUAUUGCUAAAGCAGCUGUUUCAAAAAUCUGACAUAGGCCUACCUCGACAUCUGGUCACCUUUACAGAAACAAAACACUAUGAAAACUUAUUCUCUCUCUCUCUCUCUCUCUCUCUCUCUCUUUCUCUCUCUCUCUCUCUCUUUCUUGUCAACUGCACAGCUGUCCAGCAGCUGGGAUUUUUCCUUCAUCCCUGUUGUGGGAUGUAAAAUGAUGUCACUGAUGCUGAUGCAGCCAACAGAAAAGUGCCAUUGGUACCAGUUUGUGAAGAGCUUCUUCCUGAUUGAGCUCAGGAAGAUGAACAGCUGGGAGAACCAAUCAUCAUGGAGAAGAGGAUGGGGACAGGGCAGAUGGGGUACUUGGGUGCUAUGCACAGAAAGUCACGUAGGCAAGACCCCCUCCUCCUUUCACCCGCUGCCUCACUGCCUCAAUAGCUCAGUCUAAGUGCCUCAGUCUCAGUCAGAAGCUGUGGGUCUACCCAGCUGUCAAGUCAAGUCAUCUUUAUUUAUGUAGCGCUUUUAACAAUACAGAUUGUGUCAAAGCACCUUUACAGUAUCAAAAUAGGAAAAUAAUGUAUCAAUGCAUAAGGACAAUAUUAAACACCCAAUUUUCAGUUAAAGGCAGUUCAUCAUUGAAUUCAGUGAUGUCAUCGUCCAGCUCAGUUCAGUUUAAAUAGUAUCUGUGCAAUCAAGUUGAUGAUAUCGCUGGGAAUUAAGUGUCCCCAACUAAACAAGCCAUAGGCGACAGCAGCAAGGAACCAAAACUCCAUCGGUGACAGAAUGGAGAAAAAAACCUUGGGAGAAACCAGGCUCAGUCGGGGGGCCAGUUCUCCUCCGGCCAGAUGAACCAGCAGGCUGAUCCAUGCUGCAGCAAAGUUAGAUUGUGCAGAGGACUCAGCUGGUUCUGUGGUCUGGUCCCAAUGGCCGUCUAGGAGACAGGUCUUCACUGGGGAUCUGUCUCUGAGGCUCAUCUAGUUGUCCUGGUCUAUGCUGAAAUUCAGUGCUGUAGAGGUCGUCUCUAGGUGCUGAUCCACCAUCUGGGCUGGAUACGGACUGGAUCUGGUGGCAACGGUGACCUCAGAAUAAGAAAGAGAGCAAUAUUAGCAUAGAUGCCAUUCUUCUUACGAUGUAACAAGUACAUUGUGUGUUAUUGGAAGUGUUCCCAGUUCCAGUUGACCUUAUUAAUGCAGCCUAACAAUCCUUUAACGGAUUUAAGUAAUAGAAAUGUGUAAGUGUGUUAUGUGUAAGCCAGGUUAAAGAGAUGGGUCUUUAAUCUAGAUUUAAACUGACAGAGUGUGUCUGCCUCCUGAACAGUGUUAGGUAGAUUAUUCCGGAGUUUGGGCCUUUUUUUUUAUUCUAUUCCAUUCCUAUUGUUUUCUAUCAUAUCCUGUCCUUUUAUCCUGUCCUUUUAUAUCUUGUCUUGUUCUGUUCUGUCCUAUUUUAUUUUAUUUUAUUUACAUUUAUAUUGCUAUGUCCAUACCAUCCUAUUCAUAUGAUUUUUUUCUUCUAUCAUAUCCUUUGCAUUUGCUAUUCUUGUUCCGAAUGCUGUUCUGUUCUGACCUAUGCUAUCCCUAUUCUGGCCUAUCCUGUCCUAGAGUCUACAAUUCUUAUUUUUCCUAUCCUAUUGCUUUCUUGUCUUCUGCUCCUUUCACUUAUCACUAUCACCUAUUAGUGUAUGGGAAGCCGUUUUAGCUUAAAAUAUUCCAAGUGUUACUCCAUGGUAAUUGCAUUUUUACUAGUAACAAUUCAAUUCAACAAUUCAAUUAGAGAGCUCUACAAUUAAAUGCUAAUUAGUAACAAUGCCAAUUAGAGAGCUCUCUAAAUUAUUUUUACUAGUAAGAAUUUCAAUUAGAGAGUGCUCUAAUUCAGUUUUUAUUAGUAAGAACUGAAUUAGAGAGCUCUUUAAUUCCAUUACAGAGCUCUACAAUUAAACAUAUCUUUAAUGUGUUUUUUUUACUAGUAAAAACUGAAUUAUAGAGCUCUGUAAUUGCAUUUUUACUAGUAAGAAUUAAACUAGAGAGCUCUCUAAUUGGAACUGUUACUAGUAAAAAUUUAAUAAGAGAGCUCUCUAAUUGGAAGUGUUAUUAGUAAGAAUUCAGUUGCAGAGCUCUGUAAUUGUAAUUCAUAUCAGUAAAAAUUCAGUUGUAGAACUUUGCAAUUAAAAAUGAAUGGUAGUCAAGUCAAUGUAGACAUAUGACUAGCAAAAAUUAAUUUGUAGAGCUCUCUAAUCAUAAUUGUUUCUAUUAAGAAUUGAAUUAAAGAGCUCUCUGAUUGGCAUUGUUACUAUUAAUAAUUUAAUUGUAGAGCUCUCUAAUUGAAUUGUAACUAGUAAAAAUGCAAAUACAACGAAUAAUACUGGGAAUAUUUUAAGAUAAAUUUACUUGCUAUAAUUAGUGCCUAUCAUCUCCUAUCACCCUUUUACCAAGUUUUUUUUUUUUUCAGGUCACACUUAUAAUUCUCAUGCCAUAGACUUACAUUGAACAAGCAACCAAUUUCAGAGAUUGCGGGGUGAGCUUUCUUGAUUUGAGUUCAGUAAGCAAACACCUGCAACACCCAGACAACCACAUAGUAACACCCUGGUGUUGUUAUAUGUAUCAGUAUAAUCUAGCUGAGCUCAGAAUUGUUAAUAUCCCUUACGAAAAAGACGUUUAUUCAAGUUUGCUAUUAGUAUACUUUUAAACUAAAAAUAGGAAAGUAUGCUUUUAGUUUACUUUUUAUGUACUUCUCAGAAAUGGGCUUUAUGUACUCCUCAGAAAUAUACUUAAAAUGACUUUUAAGUAUACCUGACUUAUACAUACAAAAAGUCUAAAUAGAUUUGAGCUAUACUCCUAGAAUCCGUGUUUUCAUUAUUAUACGGUAGAGGGCGCUAGUACAUAUCUUCUGUAAAGAAUUUCAAAAAAAACACAAGUGAAAAAGAAAAAAAGAAACAACAGAUACUAACACAUGUAAUCUAACACGAUCAUCUGACAUGAAACAGCAUCAAAACUGUAAUGUUAUGGAAUAAAAUAUUGACCGAUGAAGAGGUAAUAAUUACA